This 520-nucleotide ribosomal RNA is filed under the name uncultured bacterium. RNAcentral's name for it is "bacterial SSU rRNA". It matches the Rfam family "Bacterial small subunit ribosomal RNA", at positions 32 to 518 of the family's 1533-position model. The record is from RNAcentral.
AGGACGACGCUGGCGGCGUGCCUAAUACAUGCAAGUCGAACGGUCUUUCUAUGGAAGCUUGCUUCCACUGAGAAGAUAGUGGCGAACGGGUGAGUAACACGUGGGUAACCUGCCCAUAAGAGGGGGAUAACAUCCGGAAACGGGUGCUAAUACCGCAUAGUUUUCUUGAUCGCAUGAUCGGGAAAGGAAAGACGGCCUUUGUGCUGUCGCUUAUGGAUGGACCCGCGGCGUAUUAGUUAGUUGGUGAGGUAACGGCUCACCAAGACGAUGAUACGUAGCCGACCUGAGAGGGUGAUCGGCCACAUUGGGACUGAGACACGGCCCAAACUCCUACGGGAGGCAGCAGUAGGGAAUCUUCCGCAAUGGACGAAAGUCUGACGGAGCAACGCCGCGUGAGUGAAGAAAAGGGUUUUCGGAUCGUAAAACUCUGUUGUCAGAGAAGAACAAGUUGGAGAGUAACUGCUCCAGCCUUGACGGUAUCUGACCAGAAAGCCACGGCUAACUACGUGCCAGCAGCCGC